This 441-nucleotide ribosomal RNA is filed under the name uncultured bacterium. RNAcentral's name for it is "partial 16S ribosomal RNA". It matches the Rfam family "Bacterial small subunit ribosomal RNA", at positions 338 to 795 of the family's 1533-position model. The record is from RNAcentral.
CCUACGGGAGGCAGCAGUGGGGGAUAUUGCACAAUGGGGGGAACCCUGAUGCAGCGACGCCGCGUGGGUGAAGGAGUAUUUCGGUAUGUAAAGCCCUAUCGGCAGGGAAGAAUUUAGACGGUACCUGACUAAGAAGCCCCGGCUAACUACGUGCCAGCAGCCGCGGUAAUACGUAGGGGGCAAGCGUUAUCCGGAUUCACUGGGUGUAAAGGGAGCGUAGACGGCCAGGCAAGCCUGGAGUGAAAGCCCGGGGCCCAACCCCGGGACUGCUCUGGGAACUGUCCGGCUGGAGUGUGGGAGGGGCAGGCGGAAUUCCUGGUGUAGCGGUGAAAUGCGUAGAUAUCAGGAGGAACACCGGCGGCGAAGGCGGCCUGCUGGACCGCGACUGACGUUGAGGCUCGAAAGCGUGGGGAGCGAACAGGAUUAGAUACCCCAGUAGUC